GGGGGCGUCCGGUUUCGACGGGGAGUGUAAGGGCAGGGGUAGCGGGCCGAGGUGCUGUGGCCUCGUUAAACUGCAGCAAGCACAUUAAGUGCCGAUAACAAUUACGCUUUAGCUGCUUAAUUUAUAAGUAGCCGUCCAAUCCAGACUUUACCUGGGAGUCCGGUGCGGGCGUCAUUAAACCAGGUUGCUCGCUGGUCAAUUCUCGGAGAUCAGCGCUAAGCUUAUCGAGAUAGCUGAUGCUUAGUUUGUCCGUAAACGACGUAGAAGCGAAAGACCAAUUACGGACUGCGCCCGGAGAGACUACUGUCGUUACCUUUUCGGACGGGGGUUCGACUCCCCCCGCCUCCACCA
RNAcentral lists this transfer-messenger RNA (351 nucleotides) under bacterium. RNAcentral's name for it is "DUOH01 sp012838955 Standard tmRNA". It matches the Rfam family "transfer-messenger RNA". Rfam says of the family: Bacterial tmRNA, also known as 10Sa RNA or SsrA, is named for its dual tRNA and mRNA-like properties. Its role is to liberate the mRNA from a stalled ribosome. RNAcentral also lists the same sequence under 1 other name. The record is from RNAcentral.